This 253-nucleotide ribosomal RNA is filed under the name uncultured bacterium. RNAcentral describes it as "partial 16S ribosomal RNA". It matches the Rfam family "Bacterial small subunit ribosomal RNA", at positions 524 to 776 of the family's 1533-position model. The record is from RNAcentral.
UACGUAGGGUGCGAGCGUUAAUCGGAAUUACUGGGCGUAAAGCGUGCGCAGGCGGUUUUGUAAGCCAGAUGUGAAAUCCCCGGGCUUAACCUGGGAAUGGCAUUUGGGACUGCAAGGCUCGAGUGCGGCAGAGGAGACUGGAAUUCCUGGUGUAGCAGUGAAAUGCGCAGAUAUCAGGAGGAACACCGAUGGCGAAGGCAGGUCUCUGGGCAUUAACUGACGCUGAGGAGCGAAAGCAUGGGGAGCGAACAGG